CCUACGGGGUGCUGCAGUGGGGAAUAUUGCACAAUGGGGGAAACCCUGAUGCAGCGACGCCGCGUGAAGGACGAAGUAUUUCGGUACGUAAACUUCUAUCAGCAGGGAAGAAAAUGACGGUACCUGACUAAGAAGCCCCGGCUAACUACGUGCCAGCAGCCGCGGUAAUACGUAGGGGGCAAGCGUUAUCCGGAUUUACUGGGUGUAAAGGGAGCGUAGACGGCCAUGCAAGUCUGAUGUGAAAACCCGGGGCUCAACCCCGGGACUGCAUUGGAAACUGUGCGGCUGGAGUGUCGGAGAGGCAAGUGGAAUUCCUAGUGUAGCGGUGAAAUGCGUAGAUAUUAGGAGGAACACCGGUGGCGAAGGCGGCUUACUGGACAGUGACUGACGUUGAGGCUCGAAAGCGUGGGGAGCGAACAGGAUUAGAUACCCCUGUAGUC
Molecule: ribosomal RNA, 440 nt
Filed under: uncultured bacterium
Lineage: Bacteria
Description: partial 16S ribosomal RNA
Rfam family: Bacterial small subunit ribosomal RNA
Source: RNAcentral